Molecule: long non-coding RNA, 659 nt
Organism: Patiria miniata (bat star)
Lineage: Eukaryota; Metazoa; Echinodermata; Asteroidea; Valvatida; Asterinidae
Exons: 4
Source: RefSeq, a predicted model, not a curated record
UGUCCCAGAAAUACGAGUUUUAAACAGGUUUCUGGAUUUUUCACAAAUCCCCAGAGCGAGUGCAGUGGUAAACCAAGACAUCAUCGUGACUUACAAGAGAAAGUCUUCUUGACACAAGCUGCUCGAAUUUCUGGAGUGGUGGUUGUAUGGUGACGUCUCAUGACGCUGAGAAGUUUCUGCAGUGGAUCCUGCAUCCCUUGAACUACCCUCCCUGACCGGUUGAACUCUGUAUGCACCAAUUCACCUCCCUGCUCAUUUAAAAGACCAAACCCAACCUUGAACAUUCGGAGCUGAUCUACGGCAUGGUCUUCCAAAAGAUGCAUUUUGGGACUGAUGUUUGCCUUGGGGAAGUGGGCCCUGAAACACCGCAUGAAGUUUUUGAUGCUGAUGUCUGCAGAUAAGUUGGUGUUGUAGUUCCUGCUGCCUCCUUACUUCUGCAACUACUGCUUGGUCGAAGUUAAAUUCAUCAUCAUCAUCAUCUUCAUCUGCUCCCUCUACUCGCAGCUUGAACAACCUGACGUCUAGGCUGUGGCAAUCGGACUCCAGGAGGUCAUAGAUCUUCUUGAAGAUGCCGAGCGAAAUGUGGAGACUGGGCAGGAUUACCUUCAAAACACAUGGUGAAGUACUUACUCCUCAAGUCCGUCCAGAUAAUCCAGCAC